RNAcentral lists this ribosomal RNA (253 nucleotides) under uncultured Bacteroides sp. RNAcentral's name for it is "partial 16S ribosomal RNA". It matches the Rfam family "Bacterial small subunit ribosomal RNA", at positions 524 to 776 of the family's 1533-position model. Lineage: Bacteria; Pseudomonadati; Bacteroidota; Bacteroidia; Bacteroidales; Bacteroidaceae. The record is from RNAcentral.
UACAUAGGGAGCAAGCGUUAUCCGGAUUUAUUGGGUUUAAAGGGAGCGUAGGUGGAUUGUUAAGUCAGUUGUGAAAGUUUGCGGCUCAACCGUAAAAUUGCAGUUGAAACUGGCAGUCUUGAGUACAGUAGAGGUGGGCGGAAUUCGUGGUGUAGCGGUGAAAUGCAUAGAUAUCGCGCAGAACUCCGAUUGCGAAGGCAGCGUACCGGCGCCACACUGACGCUGAGGCACGAAAGCGUGGGUAUCGAACAGG